RNAcentral lists this ribosomal RNA (117 nucleotides) under Sinocyclocheilus rhinocerous. Lineage: Eukaryota; Metazoa; Chordata; Actinopteri; Cypriniformes; Cyprinidae. The record is from RNAcentral.
UUCAGCAGCCAUAUCACCCUACAGCCCAAGACUGGUUGCCCACUGAAGCUAAGCAGGGUUGAGCCUGGUCAGUCCCUGGAUGGGAGACCUCCUGGGAAAACUAGGUUGCUGCUGGAA